Molecule: long non-coding RNA, 2475 nt
Organism: Ylistrum balloti
Lineage: Eukaryota; Metazoa; Mollusca; Bivalvia; Pectinida; Pectinidae
Exons: 3
Source: RefSeq, a predicted model, not a curated record
UGUGUCACUCCUUUCCAGGAGAGUUUUUUUUCUGUUAUCACUUUGUAUAUAUACAUAGUGAAUUGUUAAUGAAUUUGGUAAAUUUAUUUCAUGGCUGUUGAUUCUAUUUCCAUCAUCUGGUAUUCGCCUCUCGAUUUCGUGAAAAUAUUCCAGUUACAUAUACACAAUAGAGGAGCCGAUAACACAUUAUCUAAAAUAAUAUCACUACAGGUUGGACCUACAGGGGGCUAACACCGAUAAGUGUGGUGUUAUCCAGUUUGUUUUUGAAGCUGUUUAGUGUUUUGGAAGUAAUGAUGUUCUUGCAUGUUUGGGUAUAUUUUCAGUGAGUUAGUUCUUGUCCUGGAUCUCUCGGAGGUAUCAGACCACAUCCUUAUAAACUGUGUAGCCCCCUCAUCAUAUUUUCCUCUAACUGCCUUGUACAUCAUAUCACCUCGAAAACGCCUGUAGGUUAGGGUUGGCAGUUUCAGCAUCUUUAAUCUUUCCGAAUACAACAGAUUUCCCAUUCCAGAUAGUUGUUUUGUUGCCUUCCUUUGGACACCUUCCAGUUGCUCAAUAUGUUUCAUCUUGUAGAGUUUCCAAACAACACUGGCAUAUUCUAAGUGGGUUCUUCCAAGUGUUUUGUAGAGUGUGGUAAAUAACUCAGAGUUAAGAAACUUGAAUGUUCUUCUGAUCAUGCCAAACAUUGAUGUUGGCUUUUGUAUCUUUUCACUGAUAUGGUUGUCAAAGAUUAGUUCUUUGUUGAAAAUUACUCCAAGAUCUUUCACUUCUUCAACAUCUCCAAGGGUUGUGUUGUUCAGUACGUAGGUGGUGUUUUCUGUUUUAUGAUUUUCAAUGUGCAUGAACUUAAACUUAUCUUCAUUAAAUGAAAGCAGCCAUGUUUCCUUCAGACUUAAUAACUUGGAACAUUUUCGUGUCAUCUGCAAAUAAGUAUGCAGUUGAGUCCACCUUCUCUGGCAAGUCAUUUAUGUAAAUGACGAACAAGAUAUGUAAAUGAAAUGUGAGAUGUAAACUUAAGAUAUAUUUGAUAACUAAAUAGAUUUCCCAGCUAUACCUAUAUAUAGCUAAUUAUAUCAUCUAAUUCUUCAUACUAAGUCUCUAUAUACCUAUAGAUAGCUAAUUCUAUCAUCUAAUUCUUUAUACUAAGUCACUAUAUACCUAUAUAUAGUUUAUUCUAUCAUCUAAUUCUUUAUACUAAGUCACUUUUAGAACUAACAUAUAAUACAAUAACAUUUCAAUAGACACGGUGAUAUGUGAUAAUGGAAAACUUUGUGGCGACCUUGACCCUAAACUAAAAGCACACGUGCUGAUAUAAGUUAUAUAACUGACCUAUAAUGAUUCUUAAUGGUCGGUAUCUUGAUAUUUAAAAUGUUUCUUGUCCAUUGAAAUUCACUGGAAAGCGCAAAUAAUUUCCUGUCCAAACUCUAUAAUAAUUCAUGAAAUUUCUGUAUAAGUAAUAUUCAUAUGUAGAGUGCAUGUAUAUACUGUUAUAUUUUGUAAGGAAAGGGCUUAUAUAGGCUUUGCCUGUUGCCCAAUUCCUUUUGUACAUACGAUCAGUUCAAUAAAAUAUUCUGAAAUGAAAUGAAAUGGUCAGUAUGACAACUGACCUUGGUGGAGACGUAGGCUGUGGCGCCAGACUGACCUAUCUGUCCAGCUAAACUGGAAACGUUGAUGAUGUUGCCUUUGGUUUUUCUCAGAUAUGGCAAAGCAAUCUUAAAUAAAGAACAUUUUCAGUAGUAAACAUUCCAUACAUAAUAUCUAACAUUUAAUGUUAUUGGAUCUGGAUAACAAGAGACCCGUGGGGACUGUAUCACUCAUCUAGGUUUUUUGUUUGGGUGACAAUACUUCAUCCAAACUAAAGGAUAAUGAAUUCUCAAUUUCCAAGCACACAACACACAUUAUAUAUAUUUGUACAUUGGGUCUUAAAUUUGGGCAAAAUCCAACCAUUCCUGUAGAAUUUUAAAGAAUUUUCUCUAUUUACCCCAUUAGACCCCGCUCCUUCCGCCCCAGGAGGCCUAGACCCACCAUUUAUACAAACUUUGAUUAUUUUCCCAAAGUAUGCUUCUGACUAAAUUUGGUCAAAUUCUGCAGUCAUCCAUAUCUAGGAGCGAUUUCUAGAAAAAAAGUUGAAGAACGUACGAAGGAAGGACGACUGACCCUGCACCAUGACAUAGGACUAGAUCAGAGAUAUCUUUAAUUGCGGUUUACCUUGGAGAACAGGAAAAUACCGACAAGAUUCACAUCCAAUAGUCGGCGGAAGUCAUCCCCAGAUAUCUCAUCUAUGGACGUGCGUGGGGGAUCUACCAGAGAAAAAGGCGUGUUGAUGGAUAUAGGGUGUUGAUUUCACGGAAGCGUUACACGUGAAGGGAAAUGGACAGGACAGAAAAGCCCACAUUUGUCUCUUCACGUGCGCAAACACGCGUGCUGUUCAUCUCGAACUAGUGAUGGAUUUAUCCGAAGAAACUUUGUUGUAAGCAU